This is a long non-coding RNA of Arachis ipaensis, 1173 nucleotides long. RefSeq lists it as uncharacterized. NCBI's taxonomy places the organism in Eukaryota, Viridiplantae, Streptophyta, Magnoliopsida, Fabales, Fabaceae. The record is from RefSeq and is a predicted model, not a curated record.
UCUACCACUCUACCCACAGGGAUUCACAUGCAAACUAAUUUCAAAUACAAACAUACUUUUUUUUUACUUUAUUCAAUACCACAUUGAACCACAUAAUUUUUGUCCCUCAAAUGUUCAAAGAUACCUCAACUUUACAUGUGCCUCCCAUGAUAAAACCAAAACCUUAUCAGAAAUACAUUUUUCUCCUCCAUACACCAUCAUCAAAACCAAAUACAAUAACAAUGGAGCCAUACAUAAUACAAUAUAAGUUUUUUGUCGUAACGAAGGGAAGAAAUACAAGAUUUUUUACCUCCUUCAAUGAGGUAUCUCAGCAAGUCAUUGACUUUCCGGAUGCCGAAUACUCCGCCUUCAACUGCCAGGCAACUGCCGUCAGGGCAUAUUCAGCAAGGCUACAAUCCAUGGAAGCUGAGAGAGAGGAAUUACGAAAAAUGGGGGCAGAGUUCCAAGAUCCAGUUUAUUCCUCAAUGGAGAAUCUGCGCACCAUCUCCACCGCGAAUAGACGUUGAGCCAAGCUCUACUGGACCGUUAAUGUCAUUCCCCCUUUCAAGGCAGCUUUCGGCAACUAUGCAAUCAAUGUGAACAUGGAGGAAUGACUGCUAAAGGUUUGCUACGGGUCCUCCAUCCCACCUUCGGCAUUCUUCCACAACGAGAUUGGGAUCCGCAAUAGUGGCGUCCACUACGCUUUCACCGUUGUCAUCCCAGGCAAUCCCUUAGGCCCAUAUAUCUACGCCAAGGGUCGGUACUUGCAGUGUGAGUCAGAUGCCAGGGAGGACGCCACAUUCAACAUGGUUGAGAAAAUUCUCGAGGUCACCGGCCGAGAAAUCCGAGACUACAAUUACAUUCAAGCAAUCAUGCUCGCCAUGGCCAAUAGCGAACUCACCCACCAGGUUAAACACCUCAAGGAGAAGUGUCACACUCAUGGCUACAACAAUAGUUCCGAUCUAGUCUGGCCAUAGUAGAGUGCCGAUCCACUGCGACUGAUUGGGAUCUGAAAAGUUUGUUUCACUAUGCUAUAUGACUAAAUCAAUUAAACUAUAUGUCAUUACCUUCCAAAUCCUAAUGUUUCCUACUAUUGUAAUACUUCUUAAUAUCCUUAAUCGAACUAUAUAAUUAUGAUUGAAACACUUUGCAUGCUGUAAUCACAUUUCAUAGAAAUUUAGGAAAUUUCUCAUA